GACGAACGCUGGCGGCGUGCCUAAUACAUGCAAGUAGAACGCUGAAGCUUGGUGCUUGCACCGAGCGGAUGAGUUGCGAACGGGUGAGUAACGCGUAGGUAACCUGCCUGGUAGCGGGGGAUAACUAUUGGAAACGAUAGCUAAUACCGCAUAAGAGUAGAUGUUGCAUGACAUUUGCUUAAAAGGUGCAAUUGCAUCACUACCAGAUGGACCUGCGUUGUAUUAGCUAGUUGGUGAGGUAACGGCUCACCAAGGCGACGAUACAUAGCCGACCUGAGAGGGUGAUCGGCCACACUGGGACUGAGACACGGCCCAGACUCCUACGGGAGGCAGCAGUAGGGAAUCUUCGGCAAUGGACGGAAGUCUGACCGAGCAACGCCGCGUGAGUGAAGAAGGUUUUCGGAUCGUAAAGCUCUGUUGUAAGAGAAGAACGAGUGUGAGAGUGGAAAGUUCACACUGUGACGUAUCUUACCCGAAAGGACGCUA
RNAcentral lists this ribosomal RNA (486 nucleotides) under Streptococcus sp. oral taxon C08. RNAcentral describes it as "bacterial SSU rRNA". It matches the Rfam family "Bacterial small subunit ribosomal RNA", at positions 28 to 499 of the family's 1533-position model. Lineage: Bacteria; Bacillati; Bacillota; Bacilli; Lactobacillales; Streptococcaceae. The record is from RNAcentral.